UAUCGCGACGAGUUUGAUCAGUGGCUACAGGACGAACGCUGGCGGCGUGCCUAACACAUGCAAGUCGAACGGAGUUGUUCCUUCGGGGACAACUUAGUGGCGAACGGGUGAGUAACGCGUGAGAAACCUGCCUUUCAUGGGGGGACAACAGUUGGAAACGACUGCUAAUACCGCAUAAUGUUAUUUGGGGGCAUCCUCGAAUAACCAAAGAUUUAUUGCUGAAAGAUGGUCUCGCGUCUGAUUAGCUAGAUGGCGGGGUAACGGCCCACCAUGGCGACGAUCAGUAGCCGGUCUGAGAGGAUGAACGGCCACAUUGGGACUGAGACACGGCCCAGACUCCUACGGGAGGCAGCAGUGGGGGAUAUUGCACAAUGGAGGAAACUCUGAUGCAGCAACGCCGCGUGAGGGAAGAAGGUUUUCGGAUUGUAAACCUCUGUUUUAGUGAAGAAACAAAUGACGGUAGCUAAAGAGGAAGCCACGGCUAACUACGUG
This 492-nucleotide ribosomal RNA is filed under the name uncultured bacterium. Its description in RNAcentral is "bacterial SSU rRNA". It matches the Rfam family "Bacterial small subunit ribosomal RNA", at positions 1 to 507 of the family's 1533-position model. The record is from RNAcentral.